UACAGAGGGUGCGAGCGUUAAUCGGAAUUACUGGGCGUAAAGCGUGCGUAGGUGGUUCGUUGUGUCUGUGGUGAAAGCCCCGGGCUUAACCUGGGAAUGGCCAUGGAAACUGGCGAGCUGGAGUGUGGCAGAGGGGGGUGGAAUUCCGCGUGUAGCAGUGAAAUGCGUAGAGAUGCGGAGGAACACCGAUGGCGAAGGCAGCCCCCUGGGCUAACACUGACGCUGAGGCACGAAAGCGUGGGGAGCAAACAGG
Molecule: ribosomal RNA, 253 nt
Filed under: uncultured bacterium
Lineage: Bacteria
Description: partial 16S ribosomal RNA
Rfam family: Bacterial small subunit ribosomal RNA
Source: RNAcentral